Non-coding RNA from Schistosoma curassoni, 45 nucleotides. Lineage: Eukaryota; Metazoa; Platyhelminthes; Trematoda; Strigeidida; Schistosomatidae. The record is from Rfam.
AUCCAGCUGAAGAGUCCUAGAUAGUACGAAAUGCUCAUCCUUGAU